This 1569-nucleotide long non-coding RNA is filed under the name Canis lupus familiaris (dog). RNAcentral's name for it is "lncRNA (ENSCAFG00030012647.1)". The record is from RNAcentral. Lineage: Eukaryota; Metazoa; Chordata; Mammalia; Carnivora; Canidae.
AUGGAAUGCGAAAAUAAUAGAAUACAAAGAAAUAGACACAGCAAGACAGUGAUAAUCUGUCUCUUUCCCUUUGUUUUUGUGUCUCAUACCCUUGCUUUCUCACUUGAUCUUUCCAAGUCUAUCAGAAUGAAGAGAAUCUCAGAAAUAGAAAGGAUUUUGGAUUUUUUCUUCCCAAGAAAGCUCCGUUUUGGCCAUCUCAUGCAUUUUUCUAGUCAAGCUCGCACAUGCAUUAAUCCCAAGUGGGCAAAGGUCAGUCUUAAACUGAAACUACAAUUUUACUAUGCAAAAAUGUAUAAGAGAUUGUUAUAUUUUAUUUCCUCCAUUUUAAAAUGCUCUUAUCUUUCAUCUGUGGUUCCUAUUCAGUAAUUGACAGUGAGUUAAGAGGAAGGGAAGAGGUCAGACAACAUGACAGAGGGAGCACUUGUAAUAAAACACAGAUACAGGAAAUUGUGCUAAUAGGUUAACUCCCUACUAAUGUGAAUAAAUCCCUCUGUGAACCUUUUCUGUGAUUACUUUCAUGAAGUAAUUAUUGUCUGGCCUAAAAGCUUAUAGUUAAAUUAAAAUUAGCAAAUUUUUAUAGAGUACUGUGGUAAUGUCAUGUUUCCUGUCACAGCAGCAUGAUACUUUUUUGGUUUUAAGGUGUUUGUUCAUUCACCCCUUCAUUCUUUUGACAACAUAUGUUGUAUGCUCAUUAUGUUCCAGUCAGAUAUGUGUAUAAAUGAUUGCACUACAGUGGGGUAAAGGCAGAUUAGCAGUUUGGACCCAGACGAAGGGGAGUAAAAAGGAGAGUGUCAUCAAUUCUGCUUGGUUGUGUAAGGAAAAGCUUACAUGAGAUUUGGUCUUGCAAGAUGAAAGUCUUAGAGUCUAUCGGGGGAACAAUAAGAAGGAACAUUACAGGCAGAAUGAAAGUUUGUGUAAGGAAUGAAAUAAUGGGACUUGUUCAGGGAACUGUAAAUAGUUCCACAUGCUCAGAGAGUCCCAGAAGCCACAGAGUUUGGUGUCAGAAAAGCUGGACUUGAACUUAGCUCUGACAUUUACUGCCUGUAUAACUUAGGUCAAGUCACUUAACCUUUCAACACCUGAGUUUUUACUCAUUUGAAAAAUGAGAAUAGUAGUAUUCACCUUAGAGGAUUUUUUUCUUCUUUUUUAUAAGGAUUGAAUAAAAUGUGGCCUUUUAAAGAGUUUCUGGCACAUGAAAAAUACCCUUUAGUUGUAAGCAGUUGUUGUGGUCCACAUUGUCUUUAAGAUCAUUGUUGCUUUUAGGAUAGAGGAAGAAGGAGAUAAAGUUGGAAGAGGUGAGAAAGGAUCAAGCCAUAGAAGGACUGUGGGUGUUCUGCUGAGAAAUCUGAUCUGCAUACUUCUAAAUGUAAUUUCACUGACAAUAACCUCUUCCAAAAUUGUAUGAAAUCCAUCUUUAAAGCAUACUGUCCUUAUCUGCAUGUUUUAACCUUCCAAUUAUGUUUAUUAAUCUCCAGUAUCUUUACUGUUCUCUUCCUUGUCACACAUUCUUUCAUCCAUCAUUUUUCUUUUAUGUUUAGCCAUGUAAUUUUAAGUGUUUUCAAAAGAUUC